RNAcentral lists this ribosomal RNA (266 nucleotides) under uncultured archaeon. RNAcentral describes it as "partial 16S ribosomal RNA". It matches the Rfam family "Archaeal small subunit ribosomal RNA", at positions 718 to 982 of the family's 1478-position model. The record is from RNAcentral.
AGUCACUGACAUUAGAUACCCCCGUAGUCCAGGGUGUAAACGCCGCAGACUUGGUGUUGGGAACCCUUCGGGGGUGCUCAGUGCCGGAGAGAAGUUGUUAAGUCUGCUACUUGGGGAGUACGUCCGCAAGGAUGAAACUUAAAGGAAUUGGCGGGGGAGCACCGCAACGGGAGGAGCGUGCGGUUUAAUUGGAUUCAACGACCGAAAAACUCACCAGCAGCGACUGUUACAUGAAAGUCAGGUUGAUGACCUUACUAGAUUUUCAG